RNAcentral lists this transfer RNA (65 nucleotides) under Bombus kashmirensis. RNAcentral's name for it is "tRNA-Asn". Lineage: Eukaryota; Metazoa; Arthropoda; Insecta; Hymenoptera; Apidae. The record is from RNAcentral.
UAAAUUGAAGCCAAAUAGAGGCAUUUUAUUGUUAAUAAAAUUACUGAAUUAAUAUUCCAAUUUAU